Non-coding RNA from Arachis ipaensis, 95 nucleotides. Lineage: Eukaryota; Viridiplantae; Streptophyta; Magnoliopsida; Fabales; Fabaceae. The record is from RefSeq and is a predicted model, not a curated record.
AUCUGAUUCUGGUGAAUUGGGGUUAGGGUUUUUAAUUUUUUUUAUUGUUUACUGUUUAUUGGGCUUAUACGUUGGGCUUUUUAUUGGGCUGCUUG